Metopolophium dirhodum (rose-grain aphid) is the source of this 1146-nucleotide long non-coding RNA. RefSeq lists it as uncharacterized. The record is from RefSeq and is a predicted model, not a curated record. The transcript has 6 exons. Lineage: Eukaryota; Metazoa; Arthropoda; Insecta; Hemiptera; Aphididae.
UGACAACUGUCGGACUAACCGAUAACUCAAAAAUAAAACCAAGUCGAUGUGUUCAAAAAUAUGUAACGCGAGUGCACAGUCUGUUAUUGCAGUACGAGUAAGUUAUUUAACACUAUACUUCUGAGACAUUGAUAUCAGAUAAUUAUAACGGCUGUACGCGGGACGACCUGAAGAAAUUUGAUCGAUUCGGUUGGUGCAUAGUAAAUAGUAAUCGUACCGAAGACAUUUAGACGACAUUGCGACGGAAAUCGUUAUUCGCUGUAGGUAUACGCGUACCUACGGAAACCCGACAGACAGACAGACGGCGAGCACAAUGGGUGGAAUGACGCCACGGCGUCUGCAGUGCGGAGGAAUUCCAAUCGGUCGAGUACUAUUACAGUCAACUGCACACCAAAAACGAACGGAAUUGGGGAAAACGGUCUAUCGCGCGGAGCGCACAAUCGGAAUACGCACGUAUAUAGUUGCAGAUGCGGUGUCCUUAGGGAAUGAUUAAACACAGCUUCAUUUGAUUCAGUUAUGGGCGUUAUGGCACCGAAUAGUGACCAAUGAAAAAUGGGACCAAAGCCACUCAGCGACAUGAUUUACCCGGACAUACAUUCCUGUGGAAACUGCAGCCUGUAUACCAUGCACACGCAAAACCGCUAUACAAGUGCAUAAUAUAGUAUGUCCACCGAGCACAUUUUGUGGAAUAGAUCGAAAGCUAAGACGAACAGGUGGUUGGUAUGAUACAGCCGGACUCGAAAUUGAAGAGACCGUCCAAAAAGUUUGAGCUAUCCAAGGAUAUUACAAUAAUAGGAAAUUCUAGGGACCGGGAAAAAGUUCGAGUUGACCAAGUCCGACUGCAUAUUAAUAUGAGUAACUGACAAUAUUCGUCGGAACAGUCGGCUGCAUUGUCUUCCGCGUGGUCCGUAUACAUGUAUAAAGGCUCAUGACCGAAAGGAUGGCGACGACGAUGACGACGACGAUGUCCUCGACCGGAGCUCUAGGCGUUCGUCAUCGACUUAUUAUUAUCCGUAUAGGAGCGGAGGGCAGCAGUAUAUUUACACAGCAGAUCUAUGACUCAAACGGUGCAAUUUCAAUGGUAACUAAAGUCAGUAUAGUGCGUGUGACUCGGGGAAACGUUCAAACGUCGGAGCGAUCUCAGAA